This 543-nucleotide long non-coding RNA is filed under the name Bos grunniens (domestic yak). RNAcentral's name for it is "lncRNA (ENSBGRG00000023123.1)". Lineage: Eukaryota; Metazoa; Chordata; Mammalia; Artiodactyla; Bovidae. The record is from RNAcentral.
CAGAGAUCACUGAUGACGUAGACCUCAUGUGACCAGGAGUCGACGUGUGCAGAAGUCCUGCUAGUCUGGUCCUUGUUCCCUUCUGGGUACCAGCUUCCUUCAGCAGCGGUAGCCGGUGGGGCCAACGGUGGGGAAGGAGAAGGAGUCUACUGGCUGAAAUUUUUCAGGUCUGCUACUCUGAAAAGGCCAGGAAGAAAAGUGAUCGGAUCCGUACAGGAAGAUGAAGGAAAUAUUAUAAAGACCCCUGGGGUGGAGGUGAGCAAAGGAGGGACUGAGGUCAUGGGCCCCUAUGUUCUUCCCCCGCACCCCUCUUCUCCCAGCUUACUCUGUUCUAGGAGGGUCUUGCGUUCUGCCUUGUGUGAGAGAAAUGGUUGAGAAGAACCUUGGAAAAGGCUGGAGGGAGGGACGAGGGAGGUGAGGAGGUGGAAAAUGGAGGUGAGAACGACAGGCUCAGGGGAAACCCUGAUGGCUGACGUAUCCUUCUUGCUUCCUAGAAGUAGUUGUUUUCAAAGAAAAAUAAGUAGAAGAAAAGAAAGGAAGAGG